AAAUAACGAACAAAUAUACGCACUUUUUAAAAUGGCCUAUCCCCCCCAAAGUCAAAGAAAUGCAAUUUAAAAUAAUUAAUGGAUAUUACCCAGCAGCUGAAAUGCUUAAAAAAAGGUUUGGGUUUGAGGUAGAGCCAUGUGGAUUUUGUUCACAAAAGGUGGAAAGUAUUGAUCAUUUGUUUUUUUCCUGCUCAGUAACAACUGACUUCUGGCAAGAUUUAGUAGACUGGUUGAGUAUAAGAAUAGAUGGGAUGACCCCACUGACUCUAACACAAGUUUUAUAUAAUAAUGGUGAUCCAUCUAAGGAACUGUCCAUGCUACACAAGGUGGUGAUAAUUAUGGGCAAAUACCACAUACACAAAUGCAAAUGGCAAAGUAAAAGACCUUCCCUAACUGCAUUGAAAAUUGAAUUAAAAUCCUUUUUGUCAUCUUUAGAAUUAUUGAGGGAUUCAUGUAAAGAGGCUGCUUUGAUAUGCGACAAUGGGACUCAAUCUCUAUCCUUUUAAUGAUUGUGUUUUUGGUGUACUAAGUAAGCCACAUGUAUGUUAAAGUGUUCGCAGAAAGGAAACUGUUAUAUGUCAUAAAAAUGGCCUUCAUAUAUUUAUGUAUAUGUAUAUAUGUGUUUUUGUUUUUUUGUUUUUUUUGGGGGUUUUUUGGGUUUUUUUCGUUUGGUUUCUUAUUCAACCUUUUCAAGAUGUUGUUGCACUAAUGUUGUCUCCCAACGAGAGAUUGUAAUAUGUGCAUAAAUUUAAUUAAAGUAUGAAAAAAAAAAAAACCAAAUCCGGUCGUUGGUACUUCCUGGCUUGUGUAGCCACGAGGUAACCAAAGCUCAACACCGCCCCCUAGCAUCCUGGAGCACUUCUGUUAUCUUUCCCGGACCUUUCCCUGCCUGUAAUCCUGUGAAUGAGUGUGACCCAGUUAAGGAGUGAGGAGAGUGAUUUGGAGACCUUUUGGAGCACGUUUGAUCCCCUUCCCUCCCCUCACGGAUCCUGGAGCCCUGGACCCCCCUUCAGCACAUUGUAUACUCUGUCAGUGCGCCCCAGGGUGGCUGUGGCUACAAUGUAGCUUGCCAUCACCAGUGUGUGAAUGUGUGUGUGAAUGGGUGGAUGACUGGAUGUGUAAAGCGCUUUGGGGUCCUUAGGGACUAGUAAAGCGCUAUAUAAAUACAGGCCAUUUACCAUUUAUAUAUUAUCACCUGGUGUUGUCUGUAUAAAUAAAUUAACUGUCUUC
This is a long non-coding RNA of Astatotilapia calliptera (eastern happy), 1230 nucleotides long. The record is from Ensembl. NCBI's taxonomy places the organism in Eukaryota, Metazoa, Chordata, Actinopteri, Cichliformes, Cichlidae.